This 1087-nucleotide ribosomal RNA is filed under the name Escherichia coli. RNAcentral describes it as "partial 23S ribosomal RNA". It matches the Rfam family "Bacterial large subunit ribosomal RNA", at positions 478 to 1568 of the family's 2925-position model. Lineage: Bacteria; Pseudomonadati; Pseudomonadota; Gammaproteobacteria; Enterobacterales; Enterobacteriaceae. The record is from RNAcentral.
GACUGACCGAUAGUGAACCAGUACCGUGAGGGAAAGGCGAAAAGAACCCCGGCGAGGGGAGUGAAAAAGAACCUGAAACCGUGUACGUACAAGCAGUGGGAGCACGCUUAGGCGUGUGACUGCGUACCUUUUGUAUAAUGGGUCAGCGACUUAUAUUCUGUAGCAAGGUUAACCGAAUAGGGGAGCCGAAGGGAAACCGAGUCUUAACUGGGCGUUAAGUUGCAGGGUAUAGACCCGAAACCCGGUGAUCUAGCCAUGGGCAGGUUGAAGGUUGGGUAACACUAACUGGAGGACCGAACCGACUAAUGUUGAAAAAUUAGCGGAUGACUUGUGGCUGGGGGUGAAAGGCCAAUCAAACCGGGAGAUAGCUGGUUCUCCCCGAAAGCUAUUUAGGUAGCGCCUCGUGAAUUCAUCUCCGGGGGUAGAGCACUGUUUCGGCAAGGGGGUCAUCCCGACUUACCAACCCGAUGCAAACUGCGAAUACCGGAGAAUGUUAUCACGGGAGACACACGGCGGGUGCUAACGUCCGUCGUGAAGAGGGAAACAACCCAGACCGCCAGCUAAGGUCCCAAAGUCAUGGUUAAGUGGGAAACGAUGUGGGAAGGCCCAGACAGCCAGGAUGUUGGCUUAGAAGCAGCCAUCAUUUAAAGAAAGCGUAAUAGCUCACUGGUCGAGUCGGCCUGCGCGGAAGAUGUAACGGGGCUAAACCAUGCACCGAAGCUGCGGCAGCGACGCUGAUGCGUUGUUGGGUAGGGGAGCGUUCUGUAAGCCUGCGAAGGUGUGCUGUGAGGCAUGCUGGAGGUAUCAGAAGUGCGAAUGCUGACAUAAGUAACGAUAAAGCGGGUGAAAAGCCCGCUCGCCGGAAGACCAAGGGUUCCUGUCCAACGUUAAUCGGGGCAGGGUGAGUCGACCCCUAAGGCGAGGCCGAAAGGCGUAGUCGAUGGGAAACAGGUUAAUAUUCCUGUACUUGGUGUUACUGCGAAGGGGGGACGGAGAAGGCUAUGUUGGCCGGGCGACGGUUGUCCCGGUUUAAGCGUGUAGGCUGGUUUUCCAGGCAAAUCCGGAAAAUCAAGGCUGAGGCGUGAUG